Ixodes scapularis (black-legged tick) is the source of this 1514-nucleotide RNA transcript. RefSeq lists it as uncharacterized. NCBI's taxonomy places the organism in Eukaryota, Metazoa, Arthropoda, Arachnida, Ixodida, Ixodidae. The transcript is spliced from 6 exons. The record is from RefSeq and is a predicted model, not a curated record.
AAUCAUCCAGAUGGUGCCGGAUUGAUCAGCCGUCAGUUUUGUUGUCUUUAAAUAAACCAGUUUUUUUUAUGAACGUUCGAUGAUGUUACUUCGAAAACUUUAGCAUUCCGAAGUGGGAUUACCGCUGAGCCUCCCCGGAACAGUGGUGGCUGCGACAGCCACGUUCACGCCGACGAACGUGAGUCUUCUUCGCGGGCGGUGGUGCGCGUCCAUUGUUUCCGCCACCGACGAGAGGCCGUUCAGUGUUCCCGUUGACUCGACGAGAAAGCACAGCCAUGGCCGCGGACCGUGAGCUCGUACGGACCCUGGCAUCGCAACCGGGCUUCGCAUCGGUGACCGCGAUGCCAGACUUGACGGCGUCCAUUCCCGCCUUCUCUGACUCGUCGUCGGCAGCGAGCGCCAUGAAGUGCGCGGGACUGGGAGGCGCAUAUCAACACGGUGGCGGCGCAACGCAGUCCGGGUGGAGCGAUGAAAUAACGCUCGCUGUUGCUUCAUCGAAGGUGAGCGGGACGGCUUGAGUGGCAUCCAACGACCGGGAAGCGACUGGAAACUUGGUCGAAAUGGGCUGAAGAACUACAGAUGGUGUUCCUCGAUGAUGACGAUUCGCACUCUACGAGAUGAUGCUCCGGCGGACACAGACCGGAACAAGCAGCCCACAAGAAAAAAAAAAAGACACUGUGGAGGACAAGCUUCUCAAAAAGCUUCGCCAGGAGCUGAAAGGUCACAGGCUCCGUGCAUCUUCUGGGGAUCCUGAGGACGUUGCAUCACAAGCUCGAGGACCUGUCUUCGCUGUACCUGCCCUGGCCUCUGCUGAAGAGGCCUCUGCUAGGUCCAAGGAGUCCCGGAUAAAGGAGGGCGAGACCUGGGCCAACAAUGUCGAGACCAGGGCCAGUGAGCCUCAGACCGGGGCCGAAGCCAGGGCUAAUAAGGUCAAAGCCUGGGCCAACGAGGCCGAAACCAGGGCAGGGCCACCGAGGCUGAAGCCAGCAUGGAGCAGGUUGAGACCAGGACCGACCUGACUGGGGGACGCUGAGGCUAGAGCGGCCGAGGCCAGAGCACAGGAGGUCGAGGUUGUAACGUAGCGUCCUCUGCAUCCGGAUGUAAGGUGUGCCACCCCUUGUUGCGGCUAUGGAGACUCGUGGAGUGGCAGGCCCUGUGGUUCAAGAGGAUAUUGUGUAGAAUAUGAUAACCUUUGGAGACAUUGCGCUUCCUGAAGCGCAGUUGAAGCAUGUCGACACGAAGCAGCCAUCCAUUUACGUUCAGGAACUCGCGGUCAUGGUAUUUGAAACUGAGGCCCUGACAAACUGCUGCCUUACGGGGUCGGCAAUGAAGGGAAAGCUUCCUAAAAAGGGAGUUAAGGACUUGAUAGCUUUUGUUACUGCCAAUUCCCUGGAGAAACUCGGAAGUCCGUGAAAGAAUACCUGUAAAGGAAGUGCAGCAAUGCUUCCUACACUCAAAACAAAGCCUCCAACACACAAAAGAAAACUGCAGAAUGAAAAAAAAAAAAAAAAAAA